RNAcentral lists this ribosomal RNA (579 nucleotides) under Triticum aestivum (bread wheat). RNAcentral's name for it is "partial small subunit ribosomal RNA". Lineage: Eukaryota; Viridiplantae; Streptophyta; Magnoliopsida; Poales; Poaceae. The record is from RNAcentral.
UCCAACACGAAUAUGUCCCCCACGGAGGCCGUUCCUUUCCGGCGGAAGGCGGCCUACACCGCCGGCUCGCUCCUCGUCUUCCUGGCGGGCAGCCAGCUCCCGCUCUAUGGGAUCGACGACAGCCGGGCCGGGGCUGCCGACGACCCGCUCUACUGGGUCCACACGGCCUACGCGGCCAACCGCGGAACCGCCAUGUCCCUCGGCGUUUACCCCCUCCUCAUGUCCGAGUUCAGCACCCACCUCCUCCUGGGGUUAGGGGCCAUUAAUCCCCUCCCGGAAAACCGCCUUCUCAUGACCGGAGGGCUGAAGAAGGUGCUUGGGGUGUUGUUCUCCGUCGCGAUCUCGGUCCGCGACGUGCUAUCCGCGACCUACUUGGGCGCCGGGAGCGCGAUCCUUGUCUGGCUGCAGAUAUCCAUUGGAAGCGUGAUUCUCAUUUAUCUCAAUGACGCUCUUAGAAAGGGCUAUGGCCUCCUUUCUGGCAUCCCGUUAUUCACCGCCGCCAAUGUUUGGUUUCAGUCCAACUACAGCAUCAGCAUAUCCUACCUCGCCUAUGCCCCCAUCAUCUUCCAAGCCACGCUU